AAACACAAAGCUGGGCAAUUACGUACUAAAGGUGUUCAUGCACGAGGGGGCUUCUGCGCUCCACUCUGACGAUGGUGCGUUAGAGGUGUGUGUGUGUGUGUGUGUGUGUGUGUGUGUGUGUCUCAUGAUGGAUCUGGUUUUGGGUGGUGGUGGUCUGGCUCUGAUGUAAACCAGAUGUGGACUGAUGUAGACUAUCGUAGCCACAGCAUGCGGAAUGAAGUCUGUGUGUGUGUGUGUGUGUGUGUGUGUGUGUGUGUGUGUGUGUGUGUGUGUGUGUGUGCGUGUGCGUGUGUGUGUUGGUGCCAGCAUUGAGCACAAAGCCAGUGAAACUCAUAUUUACUGUAUAUUUAUUUGCAGGCACGUUGACGGAGCUCGCUGGCGUAUUUGAGUUCCUACUUCAUGUGAGUGACUCAUGGAGGGUAACGGUCUCCAUGCUGACCUUUCGAGAUCAUUAUUAAGCUCAUUUAAAAGUUAAGAAACUAUGCAGAUACACGGUGAUACUGGUUCAGUAAGUAAUCACGGGGUUCAUUUUGAAAACCCUCUGAAACACGAAACGUAAUUUCAUUACAGAACCGACUUUCACUGAAUGUUCUCUGCGGUGCUUCUGAAUUAGCGGGAUCUAAUCUGCUGUUAGCGGAGAUUCUGCGCGUUGUGGGUACAAUGGAACGAGUGUGUGAGCACCGAUCCAGCUGCCGGUCCUUCUCAAGUGGCUUCUAUUUUCAGAAGCGUCACAGCAGAUAUAAUAGACUCAUUCACGUGGUCAGAACUCACGGAAGGCCCGAGUGGGUCGGGGUGAUUUGCAGACAAUGGAGACCUGCGUGUGCGUGUCUUAUAUUCUGACCUUGUGACCUCGUCCUGCUCAGCUGCUGUGCGACGUGUGGGGGAUGAAUCCGAGCCGCCGUGUCAAGCCGCGAUGGAGAAAUAUGGACACAAGCACACGACCAUCAGCCUGCAGGUGAGGGGCUGCAGGUGAGGGGCUGCAGGUGAGGGGCUGCAGGCGUGGCCUCGGGUCGCGUGACGAAAGUGACUCGUUUAGACUUAGAACUUAUGUGGUGAUCAUUAAAGAGAAAAUUACAGCAUGCAAAAAUUCAGGUUUAAAUUUACAGACAUAAAAUUGUAUUAAAUUUGGUUGAGAUUGCGUCAUGACUUUUAAGUUAAAGACUCUGGUCUUUGGACUUGACUUCAAACAAUGUCCUCCUUCUCACUUGAGUGCAUAUUUUAAAUAGAUCGGAUAGAAUAAAUCAUCCUGUGUGUGAUCUAUAAAGAUAAUGUUCUAUUGGAAUGAUUUUGAGAAUGAGCUGUGAUCAGUUACGUAUCGCUAACAUUCCAAAUAUGCUACAUUAGCGUUUUCUGGUCAUACGCAAACCCCACCACGGUUAAAUACGCCCUUCAAUCAAUUCAACCCCCCAGCAUAAAUAUUAGUGUUCAUACGUCACUGCUUCAGCUUCAGGAAAGAACCCCAAUGCAUCAUAAAGAACCUGCCAAACAAAUGACCUCAUUUACUACCAGGAAGGAAAAAUGUUCCUCAGCAGCGACUCACUCAACUUUCAUUUACUGCCAAUUAUCACCAGACCUAUUAGCCUAUUAGCUACGUAAAUAUAAAUAUAAAUAUAUGUGUAUGUAUAUGUUUGUAUAUCUGAGCCCUCUCCCCAGUAAAACCUGCAGGAUGUCCACAGGUCGUCUCCCAGCAAACACUCUCUUUUUGCAGCAGUUGUCACAUUGUCACCGUCGAGAUGUCUCAGUUUGCCCCCUUUAUUUAAUGAAGGGGGUGUUAAGGCUCCAUCCAGCGUGCAGUGGACGAUAUCUGCAUUAGCAGAGGUAUUGUGUUUCGUGCUUUAUGAGCGGUCAGUGCAGUGAGAGCGAGUCCUGUAGUUCACAGACGGGUGAGGACAAUGAAACUGACGGAGCGGUGUCCGUUAACACUGAAGUGGUUCAUUCAACUUUGUCCCUUUGGGACCUUUUCCAUCAGUCUCUCGGGGCCAAAGGGGGGGGGGGGGGGGAGGGAACUCAGGACACAGGCCGCGUCUCACUCGGAACCGGGACACCGUGUCCCGAGUCCAAAAACGAUGCAAAGUUGAGCAAAUGUGACGUUUUUUUGGUCGCCGUGUUCAGCGUGAUAUGAGCCGUCGCUCAAGAGGCUUCGGCCUUUACAGGUGGCACGACUUUCAUCUCAGAGUCCGGAGCAGAUAAGGAUAUUUAUCUCAAACUACCUGCAGAUGGAGCACAAAAUACAUUAAUUCAACAUGGGCGAGUGACCCUCUAUUCUACAUGAAGCACAAGGAAAUGAAAAACAGGACGAAACGGAGGAAAACACGACGCGCGAGCCAACGAAAACCACUUCGCUCCACUAAUAAUUCAUGCAGAAAUGAAGCUCUUUCCUACAAAGAACGUUCCAACAAAUGCUGAUUCCUUCAGCGUCGAUUGUUUUAUUUGACACGACCUUUGUGAUUCUAUUUAUAGUUUUAAAUGAUCGCAGACCAACGUUUAGAGAGCUCCGCAGAUGUCUCUGUUUUUGCCCUGUAAGACAUCUGGACGUGUUGACCGGACUGUUCCCAAUACGGGAAGUAACCAACCAUCGCUAAGGCGAAUAUCUCCACAGGUUGAGCACUCGCUGUGGGACAAACUCUGUUUUUCUUUCCCACUGAGCUGAGAAUGAAGAGUAAAGAAGGCAAAGAGGUGCUCGGUCCUCACGCGGGUGUGAAGGACGCGCCGCAAAACAAAGAGGCUGUUUCAAACACCUGCUUCUUCCUUUGAGGUCUUCCUCCUCCGGGUCGCUCUCUAAAUCAACCACAAACAUCUUAAAAGGUCAGAAGAAGUUAUUUAGUUUUUUUUUGGUCAGAAUUGACUAAAUGAUUAUUUUCGAAUCAUCGAAGAAGCUGCGGAUUCUGUAUAUUUCAGACUCAAAGGGGCUCAGACCUGCAUGAAGGUGGUAGAUCUUUGAGGAGCCGACAGAGGAGCAGAGAGAGCGGCUAGCUAACUUCAAGCUCUGUCAUAAUACA
Gasterosteus aculeatus aculeatus (three-spined stickleback) is the source of this 2999-nucleotide long non-coding RNA. The record is from Ensembl. Lineage: Eukaryota; Metazoa; Chordata; Actinopteri; Perciformes; Gasterosteidae.